GUCACUCACUUUGCAACAUGCUGCAGUUGCUGCUGUGUCCAGCUUCACACAUGCAAAAGCAGCUGCAUCAUCGCAGCAAGUUGGAAGAUAUUGCAAGAGGCUAGGCUGCAGUUUCCAUUAUUAGCAGUUGCCACAGGUGGGAAGUGCCACACUCUACUGCAAGUGAAGUUAUUACCUUAAUUAUAAUUUCUAAGGCCACAGUAGGGUCCAGAUUUUUGUUUAUUUGGUUUGUUGUUUUUUACAUUCCCUCAUCUCCACAGCAAGCUAUGGCACCACACAAUCCAAGGAUCAUCAGUGACUGAGACUAUAUAUAACGUUCUAGAAACUGCAAAAACUAAGCAAGAGCAGAACUUGGGUUGUCCAUGAAACAUUGACCAUUCAGCCUCCACACAGGUGUUUGUAAUAUAACAGGAUUAUUAGACUGGAAGAUAAUAGGGUUCCUUAAGCAGAGACCUAAACACAGGUCUGCUGCAGGGAUUUCCCCCUAAUCUAAGGGAAGAAAAGGGAGAACAUUAUCUGAAUGUGGGGCUGUGUUUAAACAGGACACAGUUAAUUCACUGUGCCUGAACAUUACCUUAAAUAGGAGACUACUGGUUACCCCAGAUUCAGACUUUGUUUAUUGCAGUAUAGUCCCUUAACAGGGCUAGCCAAAGCCAUUUUGCUUUCUGAGACAAAGGACAAGAUGGCACCCUCCCCCAUUCUACAAGUAGAAGAUGUGUCAUGGGCCAGGAGUCAGCUUUGCCUGCUGAACAACAGCCUGAAGGGGGAGAAAGCGGAAUGACUCCACCUGCAACUGAUCAGCCUUCAAGGACACAGAGGAGAAUGUGCUGAUGAGAAACAGCUGGCUUCAGGCUUCUUAAAGCAGAGCUUCCAGAAGCAGUCAGAUACCGGUAACAACACUUGGAGUUCUUGGCCCUACCUUGCUGCUUCCUGGUUGUUUUGACCCUGGACCCCCUGAUCAUUGGAUUCCCUGACUCCUGGACUGUCUGAUCACAUAGAUUGCUGUUCACCCAACCCUAGGACUGGACCAGACUUUGGAUGCUGUCUCUGUCUCCAGAAUCAGUACCUUCAAGAACCGCAGCUUAGUUUCCAGUUCCAUCCGCUUCAUUAUAAAGGACUCAUUCACAGUAUCUAACCUGCAAACAGAUCUGGUUUCUAGACGGCUCACCAUCCCUUGAUCAUGCUCCAGUCAGCAUCCCUCUUAAAAUUUGGUGCCCAAAUAGACACUGUACUACAGAUGCAGCAUGACCAGUGCAA
Podarcis raffonei (Aeolian wall lizard) is the source of this 1257-nucleotide long non-coding RNA. RefSeq lists it as uncharacterized. The record is from RefSeq and is a predicted model, not a curated record. NCBI's taxonomy places the organism in Eukaryota, Metazoa, Chordata, Lepidosauria, Squamata, Lacertidae. The transcript has 3 exons.